GACGAACGCUGGCGGCGUGCUUAACACAUGCAAGUCGAACGGAAAGGCCCUGCUUUUGUGGGGUGCUUGUGUGGCGAACGGGUGAGUAACACGUGAGUAACCUGCCCUUGACUUUGGGAUAACUUCUGGAAACUGCGGCUAUUACCGGAUAGGAUCUCCUGCUGCACGGUGGGGGUUGGAAAGUUUCGGCGGUUGGGGAUGGUCUCGCGGCUUAUCAGCUUGUUGGUGAGGUAGUUGCUGACCAAGCCUUUGACGGGUAGCCGGCCUGAGAGGGUUACCGGCGACAUUGGGACUGAGAGACGGCGCAGACUCCUACGGGAGGCAGCAGUGGGGAAUAUUGCGCAGUGGGGGGGAGCCUGAGGCGGCAACGCCGCGUGCGGGAUGACGGCCUUCGGGUUGUAAACCGCUUUCGCCUGAGACGAGGCGAGAGUGACGGUAAUGGGUAAAAAAGCACCGGCUAACUACGUG
This 468-nucleotide ribosomal RNA is filed under the name uncultured bacterium. RNAcentral describes it as "partial 16S ribosomal RNA". It matches the Rfam family "Bacterial small subunit ribosomal RNA", at positions 28 to 507 of the family's 1533-position model. The record is from RNAcentral.